This 393-nucleotide ribosomal RNA is filed under the name uncultured bacterium. RNAcentral's name for it is "partial 16S ribosomal RNA". It matches the Rfam family "Bacterial small subunit ribosomal RNA", at positions 523 to 918 of the family's 1533-position model. The record is from RNAcentral.
AUACGGAGGAUGCGAGCGUUAUCCGGAUUUAUUGGGUUUAAAGGGUGCGUAGGCGGUUUUUUAAGUCAGCGGUGAAACGCAAGGGCUCAACCCUUGACCUGCCGUUGAAACUGGAGGACUUGAAUGCGGAUGCUGUGGGAGGAAUGUGUGGUGUAGCGGUGAAAUGCAUAGAUAUCACACAGAACACCGAUUGCGAAGGCAUCUCACAAAUCCGUGAUUGACGCUGAGGCACGAAAGUGUGGGGAUCAAACAGGAUUAGAUACCCUGGUAGUCCACACUGUAAACGAUGAUGACUCGCUGUCGGCGAUAUACAGUCGGUGGCCAAGCGAAAGCGAUAAGUCAUCCACCUGGGGAGUACGACCGCAAGGUUGAAACUCAAAGGAAUUGGCGGGG